CCCAGGAAACUGGUUUUAUCACAACCAGGUAAUGUCAUAAUAUAUAAAUCCAAAAACUUAAAAGGUAGCAUGAAAAAUAACCAAGAAAUUUGCAGAUGUGUUGUAGAAACCAGAUACAUUCAGGUUAACAAGAGAAAAUGAGCAUACAGGAAUAGAAUUAUAAAAAAUAUGAAAUAAAAUUAUUAAAAGAAUUAUAAAUGGGUAUUAAGAAAUGACACACCAUUGAGAAGUUGUCUGCAACACAAUCCUGCAUGCUUCUUGUGAUAGCUGAUUAGAUUCUCUGGUUAAUGUCUUAUGCUAAACAUGUACCUGCAUUUGCAUGUGAUCAAGUGCUAGCAGAUAUAACUCACCCGAUUGUAAAUGUGUUUGGUGUAGCAUCUCUUGCCAGCUAUGUGGGACUUCACUUGUUUCAGCUGUUGUAUUAACUUCUGGUUGAGGUUGCUUUGUCUUUCUGCCAACAACAUAAACUUUGUGGAAUUCUGUUUUGUGAAGAAUCAUGCAUGACUGGCCACAAUUCACUCAUAGGCCAAGGCAUGUCAUUUUCUCUGAAACCAUGUCAUAAUUUGUGACUUGACUCCUAUUUGUUGCAUUUAUAUGCCUUUUCCCUCUCUCUCUCUCUCUCUCUCUCUCUCUCUCUCUACCUGUGCAGAGAAGUUCUUUCCAGAGGAGGUUUAGCAGAUAACAUCCAGAACAGCUUUUUGUGCCUCUGCUGCUUAUAUUUUACUGUAAAUUAUCCUACAAUUAGAAUUCUGGAUGUAGUUGUUUGCAGCAGUUAUGUAUUACAAGAAUAUGCAAUUUACUGAUCAUGUAAAGCUUUUUUUCAGUUGAGAUGCAUGAGGAGGAAACUAAGAUUCACAAGUGAUGCCAAAUCCAAACGCAUAGAGAAGAUGGGUGGCCAAAAUAGCUUUUUCUUAUUCUAGUGUUGGCUAUAACUAAAUGGAGCAGGGACAAAUCCAAAAGGAGUGAGCAGUAUUGGUUUCCAAAUCUACUGACUGUAUCCCUUGUCAAUCCAGGAUAAACUUACCUCUCUCACCAUAAGUUGGAGGGGGUCAAUCCCUUGCCGUUGCUUAUCCUGUGUGGAGCUCAUGGAAGCUGGAGACUGACAGUAAAG
This 1111-nucleotide long non-coding RNA is filed under the name Musa acuminata (dwarf banana). Its description in RNAcentral is "long non-coding RNA (MACU_LNC000427)". The record is from RNAcentral. Lineage: Eukaryota; Viridiplantae; Streptophyta; Magnoliopsida; Zingiberales; Musaceae.